Molecule: ribosomal RNA, 425 nt
Filed under: uncultured bacterium
Lineage: Bacteria
Description: partial 16S ribosomal RNA
Rfam family: Bacterial small subunit ribosomal RNA
Source: RNAcentral
GUGGGGAAUCUUCCGCAAUGGACGAAACCCUGACCCAGCAACGCCGCGUGAAGGAAGAAGGUUUUCGGAUCGUAAACUUCUAUCCUUGGUGAAGAUAAUGACGGUAGCCGAGAAGGAAGCCCCGGCUAACUACGUGCCAGCAGCCGCGGUAAUACGUAGGGGGCAAGCGUUGUCCGGAAUGAUUGGGCGUAAAGGGCGCGUAGGCGGCCUGGUAAGUCUGGAGUGAAAGUCCUGCUUUUAAGGUGGGAAUUGCUUUGGAUACUGUCGGGCUUGAGUGCAGGAGAGGUAAGUGGAAUUCCCGGUGUAGCGGUGAAAUGCGUAGAGAUCGGGAGGAACACCAGUGGCGAAGGCGACUUACUGGACUGUAACUGACGCUGAGGCGCGAAAGUGUGGGGAGCAAACAGGAUUAGAUACCCCAGUAGUCC